UUUACACGCUCAUCCCCUUAGACAACCUUAUUGACUUUAGAAGAAAUUAAUGGUGAUGAACGAUUAAGAUUGAGUUGUUUGAAUGUUGGGUUGGCUGAUUUUAUAGCCAUAAACUAAUUGCAUUUUCAGCUUUUCCUCAACACUUUUUGUUUCUUAAAUUUCCACCAUAAACUUUGAUAAUUCUUUAAAUUACAACAUGUACUUUCGGAUUCAUCCUUAAACAUACAUUUCCAAUUGAACCGGUCAUUAAACCGGAAUUAACCACAAAUUCGCGUUUACUGUACCGCGAUUGCGAUUUACCCGAUUAAUCACUUAUAUCCGUUAAGAAAAGGGUUGGCUGAUUUUAUAGCCAUAAACUAAUUGCAUUCUCUGCUUUUCCCCCCACACUUUUUGCUCCUGAAAUUUCCACCAUAAACUUCGAUAAUUCUUAAAAUUGCAACAUGUACUUUCAGAUUCAUCCUUAAAAAUAUGUUUCCAAUUGAACCGGUCAUUAAACCGAGAUUAACCACAAAUCCGCGUUUACUGUACCGCGAUUGUGAUUUACCCAACUAAUCCCACACCCGUUAAGAAACGACGUCGUUUUGUCUUUGUUUUAUAAUGUGAAUCUAUCUAUAUAUGUUAUGUGUUGUGUUAAUUGGUAAGGAAAAUGACAAAUCGAACUAGAUAAAACUCCUAAUCAUAAGGAUAGAUAAGACUCCAAAUCAAUCAGUCAACCUAAAUAAUAUCAUCUUAAAGAGAAUCAUUUUCCGAAAAUACAUCAUCCAAGAUAGACAAAAAAGGUUGAAGAUUGUUCCAAUGACAAUCUAAAUCAAUAAAGAACUAGAACUACUCUCAUUGAUCACAUAGAUUGCUUUUUUGUGUGAGUGGGAUUAGUCGGGUAAAUCACAAUAGCGGUAUAAUAAACGCGGAUUUGUGGUUAAUCUCGAUUUAAUGACCGGUUCAAUUGGAAUCAUAUUUUUAAGGAUGAAUCUGAAAGUACAUGUUGCAAUUUUAAGAAUUAUCAAAGUUUAUGGUAGAAAUUUCAGGAAUAAAAAGUGUGGGGGAGAAAGCUGAGAAUGCAAUUAGUUUAUGGCUAUAAAAUCAGUCAACCCUUUUCUUAACGGAUAUAGGUGAUUAAUCGGGUAAAUCGCAAUCGCGGUACAGUAAACGCGAAUUUGUGGUUAAUUCCGGUUUAAUGACCGAUUCAAUUGGAAAUGUAUGUUUAAGGAUGAAUCCAAAAGUACAUGUUGUAAUUUAAAGAAUUAUCAAAGUUUAUGGUGGAAAUUUAAGAGGCAAAAAGUGUGGGGGGAAAAGCUGAGAAUGCAUUUAGUUUAUGGCUAUAAAAUCAGCCUACCCUUGAAUGUUUGAAGUCCUAAAACGGUAUUGGCGGGAACUUAUGGUUUUUCAA
Molecule: small RNA, 1387 nt
Filed under: Arabidopsis thaliana (thale cress)
Lineage: Eukaryota; Viridiplantae; Streptophyta; Magnoliopsida; Brassicales; Brassicaceae
Description: ATSL192190
Source: RNAcentral